Molecule: non-coding RNA, 2218 nt
Organism: Anas platyrhynchos (mallard)
Lineage: Eukaryota; Metazoa; Chordata; Aves; Anseriformes; Anatidae
Source: RefSeq, a predicted model, not a curated record
CGGGAAAAGAGAGGCACAGAUAAACAUUUGCGUAUUCAAAGUUGUAUUAGUGUGGUUCAGAAUAAUUACAGUUAGUGUCUAUUUUUGUUCAUCUUCAAAAAAUACAGAAGGGGGUUAGUGCAUAGUCAAUAAAAAGCUUCACUGGGCUGUUGCUGAUGUAAUUGUUCACGUACACAAUGUUUGUGCUCUCCAGUUACACUCUAACCCCAGAAAAAUCUUGGGCUUGUCAAGACAAUUUUUCUAGAUCUGUGAGGCCGAAGAUGGAUCUGAAGUAAUCCUCCCAAACCCUAAAAACAAGGGAGAGGUUGUAGGGGUGUCGAUUCUACUGUGCAUCCACACCUUUCCGUAUAGUUCCCCUGAAUCUGGAGUGGCUUUCUCAUGCCAACCUGUCAUAUUUUAGGCUGGCAAGUUUUAAAAAGAGAAUGUAACAUACUUGCACUGUCCAGUCAGAAUCAAGCAGGAAAAAAAAAAAUAUAUAUAUAUAUAUAUGUAUGUAUGUAUGUAUUUAACUUAUUUUUUACUUUUUUUCUUUGUUUAUAUCAUUUUGGGGCUGUAGUGCCAGAGGAAGCAGUGAUUCCAAAUACCUGAUUUUCUCAACUCUGUUCAACUUCUUCCAGGAUGACAAGAAUACGAUGAUGCAGUUUCUGAGACCACAAGGACCUCCUGCUAGUCGUAUUUGUUAUGGAGAAAUACCGCAUGGCUUAGCUCACCAGAAAAGGUCUUGGAGACUUUUGGACAGAAGAUGCCCCAGGAGCACCACAUGCAUAAUGGAAUGCAAGUUAUACUCUCUAUGUCACUACUUUAAAUCUAGCCUGUAGUUGAAAGGAUCAAAGUUAAUGAGUGCUAACAGCUGCUUAUUUGAGGUCUCAGUAGACAAGUAUCUAUGUUUUGAGAAACACAGUCCACAUCUUGAGCCAACAAACAUAGCUAAGUUCAGUCUUGUGCAUGCUUUCUCACAGCAAAUGUACAUGAAAGGUAAGGUAGAUAAAUCUGAGUUCUAUGGGGUGCUUUGCUGAUCUGAAAUCUGGUCAUCUUUUUAUGACCAAACCCUGUUACCAGGCCAGCAUGAAUCUCCUUACUUUAUAUGCACGGAAACCUGGACAAUAAUGAAAGUAAAAAAAAAUAGUUGUGGCAGUCUUCAUGUGCUUGGUGACUGUGUAUGCCACGCUGGUUUGGAAACUCAGUGUGAGACAGUCCCCACCCCAUCAAGAGAGGAUGAAGCUUUCAGUUAUGAAUGCCCAUAAAAAAAAAAAUGGAUUUUGUAGUAUAAUUCUAAAAACAAAACAAAACACUUGUUACAAAUCGUUCAGUGUGCCCACAGUAGUUACUGGGGGGAGGGAGUGAAGGGAAAUAAUGUUCUCUUCAACUUCCUUUGACCAGGUGCACAUACCACAAAGGGCUCUCCAGUCAUGUGUGUCCCAUUGAUAGCUUGGAAAACAGUUGCUUAGCUCAUAUAAGUAACACAAAUAUGUCAAUUGCACAAGUAUUUAAAAUGGAUGAAAGAUCAAGCCUCUAGUAAAGCUGAGUGUUUGAUUAGUCCUUUUUUUCUCCCUACAUUUAACUGUCCUGCUGUGAGUUUUUUCUCAAAUUCAUUCAAGUCGGAAUAUAAGGAUUUAAGGUAACAUUAGAGCUUUGUUUCCAUCACUGUAGUGUGUAGAUGGGAAAAUAAUUUGCAAGGACUUGUUUAAUUAACAGAAAUAAAAUGAGGGGCUUCUGUAAAUGUGUGAACUUGAUCACUUUGUGCCGCAGUCUCUUCUGCUUCGGGAUUAUAAUUAUGUUAGCUGCAGGAGUUAAGGGAUGAUGGAAACUCUAGCAGUAGAUAAAGUGUUUCUAUUUCUGGCUCUGUAGGGAUAGAGUAUCAAUCCGCCACAACAGAUGGAGCAAAAGCCCUUGAAGUGCUAUUGUUGAAAUAACUUUGAGACCUGUCAUCUGCUAACAGAUACUGUUUGCAAGCUGGCACUAAGAAGUUUCAGGUUUAUGGCGAGAGAUCCUGCCAAAUGUCCGUCACAGCUGUGUUUUAAGCAAAACCUGACAGGGAAACAAGGUGCUAACUCAUCUGUAGAGAAAGCUAUCUGCUGAACAUCGAAGAUGCCUGGGGAAAACACCAAGAAUGAAUGUCAGCCCUUCUACAAAGAUGAGUAACCUGAACUGCUCCAGAAUCAUAUUCUUAAGUAGGUAAGUCUUGAAAAAAUGUUUUGGGAGUUGUUUCUUUCUGAAG